UUGAGGACUUGUGGCCUUUGUAAACGCCGGUUGGCUCAUGGGAAAGAUAUUUACAUGUACAGAGGGGAUACGGCUUUUUGUAGUGUAGAGUGCAGAGAACAACAGAUGAAGAAUGAUGAAAGAAAAGAAAAGAGUUUAGUGAUGGCAUCAAAGAAAGAAGAUCGCCAUGCAUCACCAUCCACAGCAGCAGUCUUGGAGCUUGAUGUAGCUG
This 211-nucleotide unclassified non-coding RNA is filed under the name Hevea brasiliensis (rubber tree). The record is from RNAcentral. Lineage: Eukaryota; Viridiplantae; Streptophyta; Magnoliopsida; Malpighiales; Euphorbiaceae.